RNAcentral lists this long non-coding RNA (861 nucleotides) under Salvia miltiorrhiza (redroot sage). RNAcentral describes it as "long non-coding RNA (SMIL_LNC006050)". The record is from RNAcentral. Lineage: Eukaryota; Viridiplantae; Streptophyta; Magnoliopsida; Lamiales; Lamiaceae.
AUCGCCCAAGUACUACGAGAGUAAGCUAAGUUUAUCAGGUGGGCAUUAUUUUGAGUAUACAUAUUAUACGAGCUUUCUUAAAUGAUAUGAUACUUAUGAUUAUGAAUUGAGUUAAUGUUACGCUUGAAACUAAUUGACUUGCCGAGUUUUGUUAAUAAUGACUUGUGUGUUACCCUCUACUGAUGAGACGAAUUCGGUCCUGCCACAAGCGGGAUUUUGUGCACAGAGGUGACUGUGAGCCGUCUAUCGGGUCGGCCGGUCACGGUACUUGAGAGGGAGGCCUACUUCUCAGUACCUUUGAUGAUGAGUAGUGGAUGUGGUACAUACUUAAUGAAUAUUUAAACUGCGCAGUUACUUUUUUGUGAUGUUUAUGAUUUGCGAAAUUGCAUGCACAGGUUCUUCUCUAACUAAAACCCAUGUGUGUUGCUUAAUGUGGCAAGUUCAAUUUAUAGCUCUAAGAGCAAGCUUUCUUUUGUUUUUCGGCAUAUGUCCACUGAGUACUUUGUACUCAGCCCUGCAUGUAUUUCUAAAUGUGCAGGAUAAGCGAGGAUGGAGAAUGGUCUGGUGCUGGCGAGGAUUUUGUUCCGAUGUUAUCCUUUUACCGUAUUUAUAUUACAUACGGUAGCUUUUUGAUGUUGAUGUUUAUAUUUUGGACUUAGUCAAGAAGUAUACUCUCGGCUAUAUGUCUUCAUACAUAUAGUCUGUACACGUUUUGCUGCGAGACUCUGUAAAUUAUAAACCUUUAUAAAUUUUUAACUAUUUUCGCUUUGUAAACUUUAUCGAGAAUCCCUGUACUUUUGAACUUACGAAGCCGAUAAUAUUUGUGUCUUUGAGAUGAUGUUAUUGUUGUUCAUCCUUGCA